AGAGUUUGAUCCUGGCUCAGAACGAACGCUGGCGGCAGGCUUAACACAUGCAAGUCGAACGCCCCGCAAGGGGAGUGGCAGACGGGUGAGUAACGCGUGGGAAUCUACCGUGCCCUGCGGAAUAGCUCCGGGAAACUGGAAUUAAUACCGCAUACGCCCUACGGGGGAAAGAUUUAUCGGGGUAUGAUGAGCCCGCGUUGGAUUAGCUAGUUGGUGGGGUAAAGGCCUACCAAGGCGACGAUCCAUAGCUGGUCUGAGAGGAUGAUCAGCCACAUUGGGACUGAGACACGGCCCAAACUCCUACGGGAGGCAGCAGUGGGGAAUAUUGGACAAUGGGCGCAAGCCUGAUCCAGCCAUGCCGCGUGAGUGAUGAAGGCCUUAGGGUUGUAAAGCUCUUUCACCGGAGAAGAUAAUGACGGAUCCGGAGAAG
This 430-nucleotide ribosomal RNA is filed under the name Agrobacterium tumefaciens. Its description in RNAcentral is "bacterial SSU rRNA". It matches the Rfam family "Bacterial small subunit ribosomal RNA", at positions 8 to 487 of the family's 1533-position model. Lineage: Bacteria; Pseudomonadati; Pseudomonadota; Alphaproteobacteria; Hyphomicrobiales; Rhizobiaceae. The record is from RNAcentral.